CAGUCGCCGCGGUAAUACAGAGGGUGCGAGCGUUAAUCGGAUUUACUGGGCGUAAAGCGUGCGUAGGCGGCUUCUUAAGUCGGAUGUGAAAUCCCUGAGCUUAACUUAGGAAUUGCAUUCGAUACUGGGAAGCUAGAGUGUGUCAGAGGAUGGUGGAAUUCCCGGUGUAGCGGUGAAAUGCGUAGAGAUCGGGAGGAACAUCAGUGGCGAAGGCGGCCAUCUGGGACAACACUGACGCUGAGGCACGAAAGCGUGGGGAGCAAACAGGAUUAGAUACCCGUGUAGUCCCUGUCUCUUAUAC
Molecule: ribosomal RNA, 301 nt
Filed under: uncultured bacterium
Lineage: Bacteria
Description: partial 16S ribosomal RNA
Rfam family: Bacterial small subunit ribosomal RNA
Source: RNAcentral